Homo sapiens (human) is the source of this 3424-nucleotide RNA transcript. It is a transcript of the gene named serine/threonine kinase 11, with no coding region annotated. NCBI's taxonomy places the organism in Eukaryota, Metazoa, Chordata, Mammalia, Primates, Hominidae. The record is from RefSeq and is marked reviewed. The transcript has 11 exons.
GAGGUAAACAAGAUGGCGGCGGCGUGUCGGGCGCGGAAGGGGGAGGCGGCCCGGGGCGCCCGCGAGUGAGGCGCGGGGCGGCGAAGGGAGCGCGGGUGGCGGCACUUGCUGCCGCGGCCUUGGAUGGGCUGGGCCCCCCUCGCCGCUCCGCCUCCUCCACACGCGCGGCGGCCGCGGCGAGGGGGACGCGCCGCCCGGGGCCCGGCACCUUCGGGAACCCCCCGGCCCGGAGCCUGCGGCCUGCGCCGCCUCGGCCGCCGGGAGCCCCGUGGAGCCCCCGCCGCCGCGCCGCCCCGCGGACCGGACGCUGAGGGCACUCGGGGCGGGGCGCGCGCUCGGGCAGACGUUUGCGGGGAGGGGGGCGCCUGCCGGGCCCCGGCGACCACCUUGGGGGUCGCGGGCCGGCUCGGGGGGCGCCCAGUGCGGGCCCUCGCGGGCGCCGGGCAGCGACCAGCCCUGAGCGGAGCUGUUGGCCGCGGCGGGAGGCCUCCCGGACGCCCCCAGCCCCCCGAACGCUCGCCCGGGCCGGCGGGAGUCGGCGCCCCCCGGGAGGUCCGCUCGGUCGUCCGCGGCGGAGCGUUUGCUCCUGGGACAGGCGGUGGGACCGGGGCGUCGCCGGAGACGCCCCCAGCGAAGUUGGGCUCUCCAGGUGUGGGGGUCCCGGGGGGUAGCGACGUCGCGGACCCGGCCUGUGGGAUGGGCGGCCCGGAGAAGACUGCGCUCGGCCGUGUUCAUACUUGUCCGUGGGCCUGAGGUCCCCGGAGGAUGACCUAGCACUGAAAAGCCCCGGCCGGCCUCCCCAGGGUCCCCGAGGACGAAGUUGACCCUGACCGGGCCGUCUCCCAGUUCUGAGGCCCGGGUCCCACUGGAACUCGCGUCUGAGCCGCCGUCCCGGACCCCCGGUGCCCGCCGGUCCGCAGACCCUGCACCGGGCUUGGACUCGCAGCCGGGACUGACGUGUAGAACAAUCGUUUCUGUUGGAAGAAGGGUUUUUCCCUUCCUUUUGGGGUUUUUGUUGCCUUUUUUUUUUCUUUUUUCUUUGUAAAAUUUUGGAGAAGGGAAGUCGGAACACAAGGAAGGACCGCUCACCCGCGGACUCAGGGCUGGCGGCGGGACUCCAGGACCCUGGGUCCAGCAUGGAGGUGGUGGACCCGCAGCAGCUGGGCAUGUUCACGGAGGGCGAGCUGAUGUCGGUGGGUAUGGACACGUUCAUCCACCGCAUCGACUCCACCGAGGUCAUCUACCAGCCGCGCCGCAAGCGGGCCAAGCUCAUCGGCAAGUACCUGAUGGGGGACCUGCUGGGGGAAGGCUCUUACGGCAAGGUGAAGGAGGUGCUGGACUCGGAGACGCUGUGCAGGAGGGCCGUCAAGAUCCUCAAGAAGAAGAAGUUGCGAAGGAUCCCCAACGGGGAGGCCAACGUGAAGAACUCCUGGCCACUCUGAAUCCACUUCCUGGCUCUGGAUUGGCUUGUCCUGGAUAUUGCAUAGAAAUGGGAUCCUGUCGGCCGGGCGCGGUGACUCACGAGAGCAAGAGAUCCAGACCAUCCUGGCCAACAUGGGAAAUUCAACUACUGAGGAGGUUACGGCACAAAAAUGUCAUCCAGCUGGUGGAUGUGUUAUACAACGAAGAGAAGCAGAAAAUGUAUAUGGUGAUGGAGUACUGCGUGUGUGGCAUGCAGGAAAUGCUGGACAGCGUGCCGGAGAAGCGUUUCCCAGUGUGCCAGGCCCACGGGUACUUCUGUCAGCUGAUUGACGGCCUGGAGUACCUGCAUAGCCAGGGCAUUGUGCACAAGGACAUCAAGCCGGGGAACCUGCUGCUCACCACCGGUGGCACCCUCAAAAUCUCCGACCUGGGCGUGGCCGAGGCACUGCACCCGUUCGCGGCGGACGACACCUGCCGGACCAGCCAGGGCUCCCCGGCUUUCCAGCCGCCCGAGAUUGCCAACGGCCUGGACACCUUCUCCGGCUUCAAGGUGGACAUCUGGUCGGCUGGGGUCACCCUCUACAACAUCACCACGGGUCUGUACCCCUUCGAAGGGGACAACAUCUACAAGUUGUUUGAGAACAUCGGGAAGGGGAGCUACGCCAUCCCGGGCGACUGUGGCCCCCCGCUCUCUGACCUGCUGAAAGGGAUGCUUGAGUACGAACCGGCCAAGAGGUUCUCCAUCCGGCAGAUCCGGCAGCACAGCUGGUUCCGGAAGAAACAUCCUCCGGCUGAAGCACCAGUGCCCAUCCCACCGAGCCCAGACACCAAGGACCGGUGGCGCAGCAUGACUGUGGUGCCGUACUUGGAGGACCUGCACGGCGCGGACGAGGACGAGGACCUCUUCGACAUCGAGGAUGACAUCAUCUACACUCAGGACUUCACGGUGCCCGGACAGGUCCCAGAAGAGGAGGCCAGUCACAAUGGACAGCGCCGGGGCCUCCCCAAGGCCGUGUGUAUGAACGGCACAGAGGCGGCGCAGCUGAGCACCAAAUCCAGGGCGGAGGGCCGGGCCCCCAACCCUGCCCGCAAGGCCUGCUCCGCCAGCAGCAAGAUCCGCCGGCUGUCGGCCUGCAAGCAGCAGUGAGGCUGGCCGCCUGCAGCCCGUGUCCAGGAGCCCCGCCAGGUGCCCGCGCCAGGCCCUCAGUCUUCCUGCCGGUUCCGCCCGCCCUCCCGGAGAGGUGGCCGCCAUGCUUCUGUGCCGACCACGCCCCAGGACCUCCGGAGCGCCCUGCAGGGCCGGGCAGGGGGACAGCAGGGACCGGGCGCAGCCCUCCCCCCUCGGCCGCCCGGCAGUGCACGCGGCUUGUUGACUUCGCAGCCCCGGGCGGAGCCUUCCCGGGCGGGCGUGGGAGGAGGGAGGCGGCCUCCAUGCACUUUAUGUGGAGACUACUGGCCCCGCCCGUGGCCUCGUGCUCCGCAGGGCGCCCAGCGCCGUCCGGCGGCCCCGCCGCAGACCAGCUGGCGGGUGUGGAGACCAGGCUCCUGACCCCGCCAUGCAUGCAGCGCCACCUGGAAGCCGCGCGGCCGCUUUGGUUUUUUGUUUGGUUGGUUCCAUUUUCUUUUUUUCUUUUUUUUUUUAAGAAAAAAUAAAAGGUGGAUUUGAGCUGUGGCUGUGAGGGGUGUUUGGGAGCUGCUGGGUGGCAGGGGGGCUGUGGGGUCGGGCUCACGUCGCGGCCGCCUUUGCGCUCUCGGGUCACCCUGCUUUGGCGGCCCGGCCGGAGGGCAGGACCCUCACCUCUCCCCCAAGGCCACUGCGCUCUUGGGACCCCAGAGAAAACCCGGAGCAAGCAGGAGUGUGCGGUCAAUAUUUAUAUCAUCCAGAAAAGAAAAACACGAGAAACGCCAUCGCGGGAUGGUGCAGACGCGGCGGGGACUCGGAGGGUGCCGUGCGGGCGAGGCCGCCCAAAUUUGGCAAUAAAUAAAGCUUGGGAAGCUUGGA